Molecule: small nucleolar RNA, 126 nt
Organism: Meriones unguiculatus (Mongolian gerbil)
Lineage: Eukaryota; Metazoa; Chordata; Mammalia; Rodentia; Muridae
Source: Ensembl
AGCACUUGUAUGCGGUUUUGUUCAGCUAGGUUGGACAGGUGCAAAAAUAAAUCCUCUUUUGUGAGGAACCCAGAACCCAGAACUCAUUGUUCAGGAUGAGUUUUGAUACCUACAAGAAGGAAUAAA